GGGAGGGUGGUCUAGCUUGGUAUGAUACUCGGCUGGGGGCCGAGUGGUCGGGGGUUCAACGGGCUUCCCGUUUCG
This 75-nucleotide transfer RNA is filed under the name Promethearchaeota archaeon Loki_b32. RNAcentral's name for it is "Candidatus Lokiarchaeota archaeon Loki_b32 tRNA-Pro". The record is from RNAcentral. Lineage: Archaea; Promethearchaeati; Promethearchaeota.